UUUCCCUCCUCUAACUCUAAGGCUGACAUCUGCUCACCAUGUUCUGGGUUCCCCUUGUUAGCCUGCUGCUAGUGGCCUGUUGCUCAGAUUCGGAUGCACAGCUCACUGUGUCCCAGCCGACAUCGGACUCAGUUUCUCUGGGAAAGACAGUCAAACUCUCCUGUUCUGUAAGCUCUAGCGACAGAAGGAUAUACUGGUACCAGCAGAAACUGGGAAAUGCCCCCCGGUUCCUCUUACAUUAUUACUCAGAAUCCAACAAGGGCCAGGGUUCUGGGGUCCCCGCUCGUUAUUCUGGGUCCAAAGAUGCCUCUGGUAACAUUGGCUACUUAACCAUCUCCGGAGCCUUGGCAGAGGAUGAAGCGGUCUAUUAUUGUGCAGCAUGGAGCCCAAGCAAUGUGUUUCACGGCAUUGCCCCACGAUGGGGAAAUCUGGCUCCUGAAGGCUGCAGUGAAGCGGUGCAUGUGCGCAUGUGUGACAUCUGA
Molecule: non-coding RNA, 482 nt
Organism: Anolis sagrei ordinatus
Lineage: Eukaryota; Metazoa; Chordata; Lepidosauria; Squamata; Anolidae
Source: the annotation of a RefSeq genome assembly